Long non-coding RNA from Triticum dicoccoides, 148 nucleotides. RefSeq lists it as uncharacterized. The transcript has 3 exons. Lineage: Eukaryota; Viridiplantae; Streptophyta; Magnoliopsida; Poales; Poaceae. The record is from RefSeq and is a predicted model, not a curated record.
AGCAUACAUAACAUUAGGCUAACGAAGGACCAACUUAUGAUUGAUGAAAUUGAAGAGUUAAACAAGAAGCCUCGUGCACCAGGAAAAUAUGGAGCUACACAAGAAACUGAACAUCAUUCGCCGACAGAAUUUAGAUUUGCAAAACAAG